UCUUCACCCCGAGGGGUCCAGAACCCCCAAACCCCCUCCCCAAAUUGGGGGGUCCCUCAGAGAGGAGUCCAGGACCCCCCAAACCCCCUCCCCAAGGAGUUCAGGACCCCCAAAUCUUCACCCCGAGGGGUUCAGGACCCCCCAAGCCCCCUCCCCAAAUUGGGGGGUCCCUCAGAGGGGGCUCAGGACCCCCCAAACCCCCUCCCCAAAUUGGGGGGUCCUUCAGAGGGGGCUCAGGACCCCCCAAAUCUUCACCCUGAGGGGUCCAGGACCCCCCAAGCCCCCUCCCCAAAUUGGGGGGUCCCUCAGAGGGGGGGUCCCAGGCACUCCACCAUCCCCUGGCCCCUGAUGCCGUCGAAGAAGAAGAAAUUGUUGUGGGGGGGGUCCCGCUGGGACAGAGCCUGGAGGGGACACGGGGGGGUCACCAGGGGGGAUUUGGGGACCCCCAAAAUCCCCAAAACCCCCCAAAACCCCCCAAAAUCCCCCCAAAAUCUUACCUUGACCACCUCCUGGCCCAGCACCCCCCCGACCACGGCGCACACCGGGGCCAUCUCCGAAAAACAGAAGCUGGGAGAUAAAAAUAAAGAGAUUUAAGAGGAAUAAAUCCCCAAAAUUGGGGGGUUUCA
This 626-nucleotide long non-coding RNA is filed under the name Parus major (Great Tit). RNAcentral describes it as "lncRNA (ENSPMJG00000002399.1)". The record is from RNAcentral. Lineage: Eukaryota; Metazoa; Chordata; Aves; Passeriformes; Paridae.